GACGCAGCGACGCCGCGUGCGGGAUGAAGGCCUUCGGGUGUAAACCGCUUCAGCAGGGACGAAAUUGACGGUACCUGCAGAAGAAGGCCCGGCCAACUACGUGCCAGCAGCCGCGGUAAUACGUAGGGGCCAAGCGUUGUCCGGAUUUAUUGGGCGUAAAGAGCUCGUAGGCGGUUCGGUAAGUCAGCUGUGAAAUCUCCACGCUCAACGUGGAGGGGUCAGCUGAUACUGCCGUGACUUGAGUCUGGUAGGGGAGUGCGGAAUUCCCGGUGUAGCGGUGAAAUGCGCAGAUAUCGGGAGGAACACCAGUGGCGAAGGCGGCACUCUGGGCCAGUACUGACGCUGAGGAGCGAAAGCGUGGGGAGCGAACAGGAUUAGAUACCCUGGUAGUCCACGCCGUAAACGUUGGGCACUAGGUGUGGGAACCUAUCGACGGUUUCCGUGCCGUAGCUAACGCAUUAAGUGCCCCGCCUGGGGAGUACGGCCGCAAGGCUA
RNAcentral lists this ribosomal RNA (495 nucleotides) under uncultured Actinomycetes bacterium. RNAcentral describes it as "bacterial SSU rRNA". It matches the Rfam family "Bacterial small subunit ribosomal RNA", at positions 385 to 896 of the family's 1533-position model. Lineage: Bacteria; Bacillati; Actinomycetota; Actinomycetes. The record is from RNAcentral.